CCCCAUAAUUUCCUCAUUUAAUUUGGUGUGUGACAUUAAAGGAAAAACGUGGAAAAUAAAGAGAUUUGUUAAGAGUCUUAAGGAAGGACUUUUCCUUUUCUUAAUGCAAAAGAGAGGUGGCGGCAUUUAUUUUUUGGCAUGAAGCCUGAGUGGCAUGGAGGUCUCCUUCCACACUUGAAACUCUUCUACAUUGGGUAGGAGUCUAAUUAAAAUAGAUCCAAUCUAAUUAGAUCAAAAGCAACAGUUUAGCUCAAACACUUUGACUUGACCUAAUUAGGAAUUUGAGUUAACACAAUGUGUUA
Molecule: long non-coding RNA, 302 nt
Filed under: Elaeis guineensis (African oil palm)
Lineage: Eukaryota; Viridiplantae; Streptophyta; Magnoliopsida; Arecales; Arecaceae
Description: long non-coding RNA (EGUI_LNC027953)
Source: RNAcentral